Molecule: non-coding RNA, 88 nt
Organism: Acanthosepion pharaonis
Lineage: Eukaryota; Metazoa; Mollusca; Cephalopoda; Sepiida; Sepiidae
Source: the annotation of a GenBank genome assembly
CUAUCACGUGCGAUCACCGAAGUUAAUCAACGUCGAGUGAGGUCAGUACUUAGAUGAAUGACCGCUUGGGAAUACCUGGUGCUGUAAG